This 468-nucleotide ribosomal RNA is filed under the name uncultured bacterium. RNAcentral describes it as "partial 16S ribosomal RNA". It matches the Rfam family "Bacterial small subunit ribosomal RNA", at positions 28 to 507 of the family's 1533-position model. The record is from RNAcentral.
GACGAACGCUGGCGGCGUGCUUAACACAUGCAAGUCGAACGGAAAGGCCCUGCUUUUGUGGGGUGCUCGAGUGGCGAACGGGUGAGUAACACGUGAGUAACCUGCCCUUGACUUUGGGAUAACUUCAGGAAACUGGGGCUAAUACCGGAUAGGAGCUCCUGCUGCAUGGUGGGGGUUGGAAAGUUUCGGCGGUUGGGGAUGGACUCGCGGCUUAUCAGCUUGUUGGUGGGGUAGUGGCUUACCAAGGCUUUGACGGGUAGCCGGCCUGAGAGGGUGACCGGCCACAUUGGGACUGCGGUACGGCCCAGACUCCUACGGUAGGCAGCAGUGGGGAAUAUUGCACAAUGGGCGGACGCCUGAUGCAGCAACGCCGCGUGCGUGAUGACGGCCUUCGGGUUGUAAACCGCUUUCGCCUGUGACGAAGCGUGAGUGACGGUAAUGGGUAAAGAAGCACCGGCUAACUACGUG